CUGCAGCUCAAGUGGUGACCGCUAUUAUUGGGCCUAAAACGUUCGUAGCCGGCUGAGUAAAUGCUUGGGUAAAUCGUGCCGCUUAACGGUACGAAUUCCGGGUAGACUACUCAGCUUGAGACCGGGAGAAGCUAGAGGUACUCCUGGGGUAGAGGUGAAAUUCUGUAACCCUGGGGGGACCACCAGUGGCGAAGGCGUCUAGCUAGAACGGGUCUGACGGUGAGGAACGAAGCCCUGGGGCGCAAACCGGAUUAGAUACCCGAGUAGUCC
RNAcentral lists this ribosomal RNA (270 nucleotides) under uncultured archaeon. Its description in RNAcentral is "partial 16S ribosomal RNA". It matches the Rfam family "Archaeal small subunit ribosomal RNA", at positions 477 to 747 of the family's 1478-position model. The record is from RNAcentral.